RNAcentral lists this ribosomal RNA (253 nucleotides) under uncultured bacterium. Its description in RNAcentral is "partial 16S ribosomal RNA". It matches the Rfam family "Bacterial small subunit ribosomal RNA", at positions 524 to 776 of the family's 1533-position model. The record is from RNAcentral.
UACAGAGGUCUCAAGCGUUGUUCGGAUUCAUUGGGCGUAAAGGGUGCGUAGGCGGCGCGGUAAGUCGGGUGUGAAAUCUCGGGGCUUAACUCCGAAACUGCAUUCGAUACUACCGUGCUUGAGGACUGGAGAGGAGACUGGAAUUUACGGUGUAGCAGUGAAAUGCGUAGAUAUCGUAAGGAAGACCAGUGGCGAAGGCGGGUCUCUGGACAGUUCCUGACGCUGAGGCACGAAGGCCAGGGGAGCGAACAGG